This 749-nucleotide ribosomal RNA is filed under the name uncultured soil bacterium. Its description in RNAcentral is "bacterial SSU rRNA". It matches the Rfam family "Bacterial small subunit ribosomal RNA", at positions 30 to 773 of the family's 1533-position model. The record is from RNAcentral.
UGAACGCUGGCGGCAUGCUUUACACAUGCAAGUCGAGCGGCAGCGCGGGGGCAACCCUGGCGGCGAGCGGCGAACGGGUGAGUAAUACAUCGGAACGUGUCCCGUAGUGGGGGAUAGCCCGGCGAAAGCCGGAUUAAUACCGCAUAUGCUCUACGGAGGAAAGUGGGGGACUCGCAAGGGCCUCACGCCAUGGGAGCGGCCGAUGUCCGAUUAGCUUGUUGGCGGGGUAAUGGCCCACCAAGGCGACGAUCGGUAGCUGGUCUGAGAGGAUGAUCAGCCACACUGGGACUGAGACACGGCCCAGACUCCUACGGGAGGCAGCAGUGGGGAAUUUUGGACAAUGGGGGAAACCCUGAUCCAGCCAUGCCGCGUGCGGGAAGAAGGCCUUCGGGUUGUAAACCUCUUUCAGCAGGGACGAAGCCACUCGGGUUAAUAGCCCAGAGGGUGACGGUACCUGCAGAAGAAGCCCCGGCUAACUACGUGCCAGCAGCCGCGGUAAUUCGUAGGGGGCAAGCGUUGUCCGGAUUUAUUGGGCGUAAAGAGCGUGUAGGCGGCCGCACAAGUCCGUUGUGAAAACUGGAGGCUUAACCUUCAGACGUCGAUGGAAACCGUGCGGCUAGAGUCCGGAAGAGGAGAAUGGAAUUCCUGGUGUAGCGGUGAAAUGCGCAGAUAUCAGGAAGAACACCCGUGGCUAAGGCGGUUCUCUAGUACGGUACUGACGCUGAGACGCGAAAGCGUGGGGAGCGAAC